This is a long non-coding RNA of Melospiza georgiana, 283 nucleotides long. RefSeq lists it as uncharacterized. The record is from RefSeq and is a predicted model, not a curated record. NCBI's taxonomy places the organism in Eukaryota, Metazoa, Chordata, Aves, Passeriformes, Passerellidae. The transcript is spliced from 3 exons.
CUGUUCUGGAGCUCCCUGUCUCCUGCAGGAGUGACAGCAGCACCCCAAGAGUGACUGACAGCAGCACCCCAGAAGUGACUGACAGCACCCCAAGAGUGACUGACAGCAGCACCCCAAGAGUGACUGACAGCAGCACCCCAAGAGUGACUGACAGCAGCACCCCAGAGUGACUGACAGCAGCACCCCAGAGUGACUGACAGCAGCACCCCAGAAGUGACUGACAGCAGCACAGCACUGAAGUGUUUACUUUUAGGAAGUGGCUUCAUCCUUACACACACAGUUU